CUGCCCCUUUAUUUCAAGCAACGACGUUAUAGCCACGCUACGAUUGGGAAAUCCAUAAACGCCACAAUAGCUUCAAAUGAGUGAAAUCCGAUUUGUGAACAAAAACGAAAGCUCACCAUCGGGUCUUUACGCGAAGACUUAUAUUCACCGUGUUCUCUAAAGAGGUGUCACCAAGUGCUUUUACAGAUACCCAGACUGAAACCCCGAAUGUGCGGUACAUGUGCGUGCGUCUUCUGUAAAAAAAAAAUCAAUAGUGCAACACACUUAAUGAGGAUGUGACUUGACACCACGUAUUGCAUCACGCAGGUGUCUGUCUAAUGGAAAACUUCUGACAACAUAUUAUCCUCAUUAUGAUGGGGGC
Molecule: long non-coding RNA, 361 nt
Organism: Esox lucius (northern pike)
Lineage: Eukaryota; Metazoa; Chordata; Actinopteri; Esociformes; Esocidae
Source: Ensembl